UGGGGAAUCUUCCGCAAUGGACGAAAGUCUGACGGAGCAACGCCGCGUGAGUGAAGAAGGUUUUCGGAUCGUAAAACUCUGUCUUUUGGGGCGAACGUGAGUAUGGUGAACAAUCAUAGUCAGUGACGGUACCAAAGGAGGAAGCCACGGCUAACUACGUGCCAGCAGCCGCGGUAAUACGUAGGUGGCAAGCGUUGUCCGGAAUUAUUGGGCGUAAAGAGCGCGUAGGCGGGAUAGUCAGUCUGUUGUAAAGUGCGGGGCUCAACCCCGUGAUGGCAAUGGAAACAGCUAUUCUUGAGUGCAGGAGAGGAAAGUGGAAUUCCCAGUGUAGCGGUGAAAUGCGUAGAUAUUGGGAGGAACACCAGUGGCGAAGGCGACUUUCUGGACUGUGUCUGACGCUGAGGCGCGAAAGCCAGGGGAGCGAACGGGAUUAGAUACCCCGGUAGUCCUGGCCGUAAACGAUGGGUACUAGGUGUGGGAGGUAUCGACCCCUUCCGUGCCGGAGUUAACGCAAUAAGUACCCCGCCUGGGGAGUACGGUCGCAAGACUGAAACUCAAAUGAAUUGACGGGGGUCAUAGCUGUUUU
This 586-nucleotide ribosomal RNA is filed under the name uncultured bacterium. Its description in RNAcentral is "partial 16S ribosomal RNA". It matches the Rfam family "Bacterial small subunit ribosomal RNA", at positions 355 to 936 of the family's 1533-position model. The record is from RNAcentral.